This 229-nucleotide ribosomal RNA is filed under the name Hyalomma asiaticum. RNAcentral's name for it is "partial small subunit ribosomal RNA". The record is from RNAcentral. Lineage: Eukaryota; Metazoa; Arthropoda; Arachnida; Ixodida; Ixodidae.
CCUUAACCUUACUUGGUCUAGUAAAAUUCAGUUUGUAUACCACUAUAAAAAUAAUAAUUUACUUUUAUUAUUAAAAUUCUUUUUUAGAUAAAAAUUAAGUCAAGGUGCAGCUUAAGGCUAAGAAUGAAGUGAAUUACAUUUCUUAAAAGAAAAGAAAAGUGAAACAAAAUAUUAGGAUUUGAUAGUAAAAUUAAAAUAAAAAGUUAAUUUGAAUUAAGCUCUAAGAUAU